This 481-nucleotide non-coding RNA is filed under the name Schistocephalus solidus. Its description in RNAcentral is "Eukaryotic large subunit ribosomal RNA". It matches the Rfam family "Eukaryotic large subunit ribosomal RNA", at positions 778 to 1252 of the family's 3401-position model. The record is from Rfam by way of RNAcentral. Lineage: Eukaryota; Metazoa; Platyhelminthes; Cestoda; Diphyllobothriidea; Diphyllobothriidae.
UUGUCGAAGGCUCUAAAUCAAAUCCUCUGAUAAGACCCGAAAAAUGGUGAACUAUGCUUGCGUAGGUUAAGCCAGAGGAAACGCUGGUGGAGGACCACAGCGAUUCUGACGUGCAAAUCGAUCGAUCGAUCGCCCCUAUCGAUUGUGAGUAUAGGGGCGAAAGACUAAUCGAACCAUCUAUUAGCUGGUUCCCUCCGAAGUUUCUCUCAGGAUAGCUGGCACUCAUUCACAAGAUCAGUUUUAUCCGGUAAAGCGAAUGAGUAGAGGAACCGGGUUCGAAAUGAGCUCAACCUAUUCUCAAACUUUAAAUGGGUGAGAUGCCCGGCUCGCUUUGUAGGAGUCGAACGCUAAAUGUGCGAGUGCCAAGUGGGCCAUUUUUGGUAAGCAGAACUGGCGCUGUGGGAUGAACCAAACUUGGAAGAUUUGGGGGGAAUGCCAUCUUACGUUACACACACUUCGAAUUUCGACAGCAAAUGCUGAU